Molecule: ribosomal RNA, 425 nt
Filed under: uncultured Chlorobiota bacterium
Lineage: Bacteria; Pseudomonadati; Chlorobiota
Description: bacterial SSU rRNA
Rfam family: Bacterial small subunit ribosomal RNA
Source: RNAcentral
GGUCUAACCCUGACCCUUCAGUGCACUUGGCAAGUAACCCCCGCGUAAAUGCGUGGAGCGCGUAAGUGGACAUAAUGGAGAGUUCGCGUGGGCGGGAAGUUCCCACCCGAUCAAAGUGGGCAACCCUGCUGACGAUGGGCCUGCGUCCUAUCAAGUAGUUGGUGGGGUAACGGCCCACCAAGCCGACCACAUGGUAACUGGCCUGAAAGGGUGGUCAGCCACACCGGCACUGAGACACGGGCCGGAAUCCUACCGGAGGCAGCAGUGGGGAAUCUUGCACAAUGGGCGAAGAGCCUGAUGCAGCGACGCCGCGUGCGGUGAAGAAGGGGCGUAUGCCCUGUAAACCGCUCUCCGGGGGGAAGAAAGGGGGAGCAUGCUCCCCUGGUACAGUACCCCCAGAGGAAAGGCCGGCUAACUACGUGCCA